This 369-nucleotide ribosomal RNA is filed under the name archaeon SL1.19. Its description in RNAcentral is "bacterial SSU rRNA". It matches the Rfam family "Archaeal small subunit ribosomal RNA", at positions 74 to 442 of the family's 1478-position model. The record is from RNAcentral.
ACUCGUAGCCAAUAGCUCAGUAACACGUGGCCAAACUACCCUAUCGAGCACGAUACUCUCGGGAAACUGAGGUUAAUAGUGCAUACGGCUCGCUGCCUGGAGUGGCGCGAGCUAGAAAUGCUCAGGCGCGAUAGGAUGUGGCUGCGGCCGAUUAGGUAGACGGUGGGGUAACGGCCCACCGUGCCAAUAAUCGGUACGGGUUGUGAGAGCAAGAGCCCGGAGACGGUAUCUGAGACAAGAUACCGGGCCCUACGGGGCGCAGCAGGCGCGAAACCUUUACACUGCACGAGAGUGCGAUAAGGGGACUCCAAGUGCGAGGGCAUAUAGUCCUCGCUUUUUCCGACCGUAGGAUGGUCGGCGAAUAAGUGC